UCUUUGAACCUUUGAACUGCACUCAAAUGCGGUAUCAGUAGCACAUCACCUUGUUUCUUCUGUAGACAUUUGUGAUCACGAAGUAAUAUUGAUCUGUUUUAAACAUUUGGAUCUAGUAGCACUGGGCGGGAGAUGAUCACUGCUGAAGAGCAUGCACAUUUCAUGUAGCAGAAUGGAGUUGCCAAAGUUAUGAAUACGUAGCAAGCAGACUUGACCACUGGGAAAACAGCGCAAUACAUACACUUUGCCGUAUGUGGUGUGUCCGGAGCUGGAAAGUCUAGUUUUCUUAACAGCAUACGAAGACUUGAUAACAUUCGUGAAGAUACCGCAGAGGUCGAUGACGAAGAGAGCACUUAAGAACCGAAAUGUUACGUGCAUCCCAGCAACCCCAAAGUCAAGUUUUGGAACUUACCAGGGAUAACAGAGCAGCGGUGUUUAAGGGUGAUCUGGAGAAGUACUUCAAACUUGAAAUGUGUAGCUGGAUACGUUCCAUACCUACCUCAAUAAUCUUUGCCAAAGAUCGAUUCACCGCUGACGACUUAAAACUUGCAAAGAUGAUUCGAUCAAAUGGCAAGAAGUUUUCCUUCAUUCGUGCAAGAAUUGAUCAAGAUGUUGAGAAUGCGAGGAGAAGCAGACAGCAUUUAUUUAAUGAAGAUGCCAUUCUGGAGAAAAUACGAAAGAACUGUGCAAAAACUUAAUUGGAGGAAGCCUCCUCGGUGAUGAGAAGGAAAUAUUUUUGAUAAGCAGCCACUACCAUUCGAAGUAUGACUUUGGAAUAAUCUCCCAAACAAUUACAGCUGUUUUGCCGAAGCGUCAACGAGAAGUUCAUGCUCUGGCCUUCACUCAGAGAUUGAAUGCUGAAAUAAACUUUGCGUUAUUUCUGUUCAGUGUUAGUGCAUCAGCUCUUGCUACAUGUGUCUAAGUUGCCGGGGGAACCAUCGCCGCUGAUAUCGUGCUGUUACGAAGAGAAAUUUACUUUUAGAAGAAGAGCCACUUCGUCUUCCAGAAGAAAGGGAAAGCAAUUGACUGGAGGAUAAAAAGUCAGCAAAAGGACUAUAAAUGAUUGCUACGUCUCACAAAUAUCCGAAAAAUUACUGUCCGUUAGAAUUAGCAACAAAUUAAAGUAAGUUGAAUGCAGGGAAUGAGGCGUUUAAAAGACGAUUGUAAGAGAACAGAAGAAUUCAUAUUGAUAUUUUUCUGACAAAGCUGAAUUAAGAGAAACGGUUUUCAUAGGCAGUAAAUUGUUUCACUUUAUGUUCGUUUUGAUACUUGAAGUGAAAGAAGACCAAUGAAUCUUUAUUUUAUGUAAGAAAUUUGUUGAUAAAAUUCCUGGAGCAAAAUAAUUGUCUCUUUUUUUACCUCGUUAUUGGUGGAAAUUUAACAUUAUCGAA
Long non-coding RNA from Pocillopora verrucosa, 1391 nucleotides. RefSeq lists it as uncharacterized. NCBI's taxonomy places the organism in Eukaryota, Metazoa, Cnidaria, Anthozoa, Scleractinia, Pocilloporidae. The record is from RefSeq and is a predicted model, not a curated record.